This is a long non-coding RNA of Triticum aestivum (bread wheat), 230 nucleotides long. RefSeq lists it as uncharacterized. The record is from RefSeq and is a predicted model, not a curated record. The transcript has 2 exons. Lineage: Eukaryota; Viridiplantae; Streptophyta; Magnoliopsida; Poales; Poaceae.
AGCUUUCUCCUGGAACCAUCGUCAUAAACCAAUCAACUCUUUGAGAAUGGAUGGAGAAGACAACAUCAAGAAGGCCAUGGCUGAGGCAAAACUGUGAACAAGAAGCGGGCAAGAUGUGUUGAUGCAAGAUAUCUUUUGCUAUAUCGUGCAUCAUGAUCGUAUGACCCACUCUAUGCAUAUGAACCCCUAUAUUGGAUAUUCUUACAUUUUAUUGAAUCAUAUCCUUCCUU